Molecule: long non-coding RNA, 985 nt
Organism: Lagopus leucura (white-tailed ptarmigan)
Lineage: Eukaryota; Metazoa; Chordata; Aves; Galliformes; Phasianidae
Exons: 6
Source: RefSeq, a predicted model, not a curated record
UUAAUAUAAGAGUAGCUGAGCCAGUCCUGUCACUACUGGCAGUGGCCUAGAGGAUGCCUAGAAAAUAGCCAGCACGUAGUGAUUGCUGCUUGGGAGGAUCUGCUUGUUCUGAAGGUGUGAGACACUCAGAGUUCCUGAAUGACGUGCAGAGACCCGAGUAUGUCACAGGAAACCCUGCAAGGGUGUUCUGCUGCAGAGAAACAAAGACUGCAAUCUCAAGCAUCUACUUUGAAGACACCCAGGAAACAUACCAACUUAAUGUAGCCAGGAUCUGCAUUACUAUCCCUAAGAAGACUUAAAUCUUUGGAACUUAGAAGAGAAACUAUUCUGUGCAGCAUGAUAAACCUGUCAGGAAACAGAAGACAAAGUCCUAUCUGAUCUAAGGUUGUGGAAAGCUUUCCAACUCACAAGAGAAGAAUUUAAUGGGGGAAUUAACAGACAGAGAAGGAGAAAAAGAGGAAAAAAGUGCAUAAUGAGAACUGUGCUCAUAACAUAUAGAAAGAUUGUACAGCAUCGUGUCCAUGAACUUCCAGGGUUCGCAUUAAAACCUGACAGAACAUCAGAGUGCCAGAAGCUUCUCAUAUUGUGGCUCUGGAGGUAUGUGAUUUCUUCAUGGAAUGGGGAGCCAGCUGAAAAUGAGUGAUAAAUAGGAUGAGAAAAGAACUCUAACAUCAGAAACAUAAAGUGAGCGAUCUUAAUGCCUCAGAAUUCCUUAGGCAAUUUGCAUCUCCCCGUAGCACCCGCUUUAGUCCCUCAGGCAGCAGCUCGACAUGGACCCCGUUUGCCAUCACCUGCGUUGCGCCCCGGAAAGAGCUGCUGCGGUGCCCGUGCGAAUGGCAUUGCGGUACCUGCGGACGCACUGAGCACAAAUCCUCAUCCUGCUAACCCGGGAGCAGAGCAGUCCAGCCGGCACAGGCAGCGCCCUCUGGUGGCGGAACACGCGAAGCGCAGCCGCAGCUCCGGCCCAGCGUCAGCUGCAUGCAGC